CAGUGGCGGACGGGUGAGUAACACGUGGGAACAUGCCUUUCGGUACGGAAUAACGCUUGGAAACGAGUGCUAAUACCGUAUACGCCCUCCGGGGGAAAGAUUUAUCGCCGAAAGAUUGGCCCGCGCUAGAUUAGCUAGUUGGUAAGGUAAUGGCUUACCAAGGCUACGAUCUAUAGCUGGUUUGAGAGGAUGAUCAGCCACACUGGGACUGAGACACGGCCCAGACUCC
RNAcentral lists this ribosomal RNA (229 nucleotides) under uncultured bacterium. RNAcentral's name for it is "partial 16S ribosomal RNA". It matches the Rfam family "Bacterial small subunit ribosomal RNA", at positions 93 to 339 of the family's 1533-position model. The record is from RNAcentral.